GACGAACGCUGGCGGCGUGCUUAACACAUGCAAGUCGAACGGAAAGGCCCUGCUUUUGUGUGGUGCUCGAGUGGCGAACGGGUGAGUAACACGUGAGUAACCUGCCCUUGACUUUGGGAUAACCUCAGGAAACUGGGGCUAAUACCGGAUAGGAGCUCCUGCUGCAUGGUGGGGGUCGGAAAGUUUCGGCGGUUGGGGAUGGACUCGCGGCUUAUCAGCUUGUUGGUGGGGUAGUGGCUUACCAAGGCUUUGACGGGUAGCCGGCCUGAGAGGGUGACCGGCCACACUGGGACUGAGACACGGCCCAGACUCCUACGGGAGGCAGCAGUGGGGAAUAUUGCACAAUGGGCGGAAGCCUGAUGCAGCGACGCCGCGUGCGGGAUGACGGCCUUCGGGUUGUAAACCGCUUUCAGCUGUGACGAAGCGUGAGUGACGGUAAUGGGAGAAGAAGCACCGGCUAACUACGUG
Molecule: ribosomal RNA, 468 nt
Filed under: uncultured bacterium
Lineage: Bacteria
Description: partial 16S ribosomal RNA
Rfam family: Bacterial small subunit ribosomal RNA
Source: RNAcentral